AUUGAACGCUGGCGGCAGGCCUAACACAUGCAAGUCGAACGGUAGCACAGAGGAGCUUGCUCCUUGGGUGACGAGUGGCGGACGGGUGAGUAAUGUCUGGGAAACUGCCCGAUGGAGGGGGAUAACUACUGGAAACGGUAGCUAAUACCGCAUAAUGUCGCGAGACCAAAGUGGGGGGACCUUCGGGCCUCAUACCAUCGGAUGUGCCCAGAUGGGAUUAGCUUGUAGGUGAGG
Molecule: ribosomal RNA, 234 nt
Filed under: uncultured bacterium
Lineage: Bacteria
Description: partial 16S ribosomal RNA
Rfam family: Bacterial small subunit ribosomal RNA
Source: RNAcentral